UACGGAGGAUCCGAGCGUUAUCCGGAUUUAUUGGGUUUAAAGGGUGCGCAGGCGGGAUGUUAAGUCGGCGGUGAAAUUUUGCAGCUCAACUGUAAAAGUGCCUUCGAUACUGGCUUUCUUGAGUGUGGAUGAAGUAGGCGGAAUUUGUGGUGUAGCGGUGAAAUGCUUAGAUAUCACGAGGAACUCCGAUUGCGCAGGCAGCUUACUAAACCACUACUGACGCUCAUGCACGAAGGCGUGGGGAUCAAACAGGAUUAGAUACCCG
Molecule: ribosomal RNA, 265 nt
Filed under: uncultured prokaryote
Description: partial 16S ribosomal RNA
Rfam family: Bacterial small subunit ribosomal RNA
Source: RNAcentral